This is a non-coding RNA of Ictidomys tridecemlineatus (thirteen-lined ground squirrel), 535 nucleotides long. The record is from RefSeq and is a predicted model, not a curated record. NCBI's taxonomy places the organism in Eukaryota, Metazoa, Chordata, Mammalia, Rodentia, Sciuridae.
CCGUGAUUGUGAGCUGAGUCAACCUCUUUUAUAAAUUAUCCAGCCUCAGACAUUUUGUUAUAGAAAUAGAAAAUAGAAUAACAGAAGCCAAGCUAUUAAUAUGUAGGUGGACUCAGGUAAACCUGGGGGGGAAAUUUUACCGAAUGGUAGAAAGAAAGAUGAAUAUUGAGAGAUUCCUUGCAGUAUCUACCAAUGUCAGGAUGGUUUGACCUAGAAAACUGUGAAAACUGCUAAAUGUUAGUAUAAUGUGAGAAGUAACAUCAAUCACAACAACAAGAAAGAAGAAAACCACUUUGGUUCAGUGUAUGAGGAGAGGAUAAUGAAAAGUGAAGCAGCUCCUGUUCUGGUCUCCAGGGACAUCAUUAGUACUCAGUUCAGCAGGGCUUCAGCUAUAUUCUGCUGAUGAGGUGGAUUCACAUUGAGAUCCGAGGAAGAAAUGGGGGAUGAAAGGAAGACGUUUUGGAGAGGUACUUACCAAGGUAUUCACUGGACUUUUAAGUCCAUGUCAUCCAGGCCUGGUGACACGCACAUAUGA